AUGUUAAAGGGCCGCGGUAUUUUGACCGUGCGAAGGUAGCAUAAUAAUUAGUCUUUUAAUUGAAGGCUUGUAUGAAUGGUUGGACAAAAAGCAAGCUGUCUCAACUUUAAAAAUUGAAUUUGACUUUUAAGUGAAAAGGCUUAAAUAAAUCAGAGGGACGAUAAGACCCUAUAAAGCUUUAUUGUGUGUAACUUUAAAUAAUUAUUGUUAAGUUCAUCUUAUUUAACGUUACAACAAUUUCGUUGGGGCGACGAGAAUAUAAAAUAUUUAACUGUUCUUAAAUGUAGCAAUUGGUGUAAUACAAUUAUUUUUGUAGUUAAAUGAUCCUUUUAUAAAGAUUAAAAGUUUAAGUUACUUUAGGGAUAACAGCGUAAUCUAUCUUAAGAGUCCUAAUCGACAGAAAGGAUUGCGACCUCGAUGUUGAAUUAAAAUUCCUUUAUGGCGUAGCAGUUAUAGUAAGGAGGUCUGUUCGACCUUUAAAAUUUUACAUGAUUUGAGUUCAGACCGGCGUAAGCCAG
This 518-nucleotide ribosomal RNA is filed under the name Acetes americanus americanus. RNAcentral describes it as "partial 16S ribosomal RNA". It matches the Rfam family "Bacterial large subunit ribosomal RNA", at positions 1920 to 2629 of the family's 2925-position model. Lineage: Eukaryota; Metazoa; Arthropoda; Malacostraca; Decapoda; Sergestidae. The record is from RNAcentral.